UUUUUAUGGAGAGUUUGAUCCUGGCUCAGGAUGAACGCUGGCGGCGUGCUUAACACAUGCAAGUCGAACGAUGAAGCCCAG
Molecule: ribosomal RNA, 81 nt
Filed under: Arthrobacter sp. JUb115
Lineage: Bacteria; Bacillati; Actinomycetota; Actinomycetes; Micrococcales; Micrococcaceae
Description: partial 16S ribosomal RNA
Rfam family: Bacterial small subunit ribosomal RNA
Source: RNAcentral